RNAcentral lists this ribosomal RNA (254 nucleotides) under uncultured bacterium. RNAcentral's name for it is "partial 16S ribosomal RNA". It matches the Rfam family "Bacterial small subunit ribosomal RNA", at positions 524 to 776 of the family's 1533-position model. The record is from RNAcentral.
UACGUAGGGUGCGAGCGUUGUCCGGAAUUAUUGGGCGUAAAGAGCUCGUAGGCGGUGUGUCGCGUCGGCCGUGAAAACCUGGGGCUUAACUCUGGGCGUGCGGUCGAUACGGGCAUCACUAGAGUCCGGCAGGGGAGACUGGAAUUCCUGGUGUAGCGGUGAAAUGCGCAGAUAUCAGGAGGAACACCGGUGGCGAAGGCGGGUCUCUGGGCCGAUACUGACGCUGAGGAGCGAAAGCAUGGGUAGCGAGCAGG